This 433-nucleotide ribosomal RNA is filed under the name uncultured bacterium. RNAcentral's name for it is "partial 16S ribosomal RNA". It matches the Rfam family "Bacterial small subunit ribosomal RNA", at positions 29 to 507 of the family's 1533-position model. The record is from RNAcentral.
AACGAACGCUGGCGGCAUGCCUAACACAUGCAAGUCGAACGAGACCUUCGGGUCUAGUGGCGCACGGGUGCGUAACGCGUGGGAACCUGCCCUUAGGUUCGGAAUAACUCCCCGAAAGGGGUGCUAAUACCGGAUAAUGUCUUCGGACCAAAGAUUUAUCGCCUUUGGAUGGGCCCGCGUUGGAUUAGCUAGUUGGUAGGGUAAAUGCCUACCAAGGCGACGAUCCAUAGCUGGUCUGAGAGGAUGAUCAGCCACACUGGGACUGAGACACGGCCCAGACUCCUACGGGAGGCAGCAGUGGGGAAUAUUGCGCAAUGGGCGAAAGCCUGAUCCAGCAAUGCCGCGUGAAUGAUGAAGGCCUUAGGGUUGUAAAGCUCUUUUACCCGGGAUGAUAAUGACGGUACCGGGAGAAGAAGCUCCGGCUAACUCCGUG